RNAcentral lists this ribosomal RNA (411 nucleotides) under Blattella germanica (German cockroach). RNAcentral describes it as "partial large subunit ribosomal RNA". The stretch from base 1 to 207 matches the Rfam family "Archaeal large subunit ribosomal RNA", at positions 1888 to 2143 of the family's 2987-position model. Lineage: Eukaryota; Metazoa; Arthropoda; Insecta; Blattodea; Blattellidae. The record is from RNAcentral.
UCGCCUGUUUUAUCAAAAACAUCUCUUUUUGUUUAUAUAUAAAGUAUGACCUGCCCACUGAUUUAUUUGAAGGGCCGCGGUAACCUGACCGUGCAAAGGUAGCAUAAUCAUUAGUUUCUUAAUUAGAGGCUGGAAUGAAUGGUUGGACGAAAUAUGAGCUAUCUCAUUAUUUUUAUUAGAAUUUAAUUAUUAAGUAAAAAAGCUUAAAUAUUGUUAUGGGACGAGAAGACCCUAUAGAGUUUAAUAUUGUAAUUUUUAGAUUAGUUUUGUUUCGCAAUAUUAAUUAUAAUUUUUUGUUGGGGUGACAGGAAGAUAUAAAUAACUCUUUUUAUUGAUAAAUAUUAAUUUAUAGAAUUUUGAUCCAUUUAUAAUGAUUAUAAGACUAAAUUACCUUAGGGAUACCAGCGUAAA